UACGUAGGUGGCAAGCGUUGUCCGGAUUUAUUGGGUUUAAAGGGUGCGUAGGCGGUUUUGUAAGUCAGUGGUGAAAAAUGUCAGCUUAAAUGAGAGGGUGCCAUUGAUAAUGCAGAACUUGAGUACAGAUGAGGUAGGCGGAAUUGACGGUGUAGCGGUGAAAUGCUUAGAUAUCGUCAAGAACACCUAUAGCGAAGGCAUCUUACUAGGCUGUAACUGACGCUGAGGCACGAAAGUGUGGGGAUCAAACAGG
This 253-nucleotide ribosomal RNA is filed under the name uncultured bacterium. Its description in RNAcentral is "partial 16S ribosomal RNA". It matches the Rfam family "Bacterial small subunit ribosomal RNA", at positions 524 to 776 of the family's 1533-position model. The record is from RNAcentral.